Molecule: small RNA, 193 nt
Filed under: Arabidopsis thaliana (thale cress)
Lineage: Eukaryota; Viridiplantae; Streptophyta; Magnoliopsida; Brassicales; Brassicaceae
Description: ATSL034240
Source: RNAcentral
UGGCUUUGCAUCUUCUAACAAGAAAAAACUAUUAGGCUUUUACGAUUCGGUUGCGCUUCUAGUUCUUAUACUCAAUCAUACACAUGACAUUUAGUCAUAUUUGACUCCAAAACACUAACCAAGCUUCUUCUUGGUUCUCAACGCUUUGAUGGUGUAGUUGAAGUCCAUAUGAGUCUUUGGCUUUCUAUCUUCU